AUUGAACGCUGGCGGCAGGCCUAACACAUGCAAGUCGAACGGAUGAAGGGAGCUUGCUCCUGGAUUCAGCGGCGGACGGGUGAGUAAUGCCUAGGAAUCUGCCUGGUAGUGGGGGAUAACGUCCGGAAACGGGCGCUAAUACCGCAUACGUCCUGAGGGAGAAAGUGGGGGAUCUUCGGACCUCACGCUAUCAUAUGAGCCUAGGUCGGAUUAGCUAGUUGGUGGGGUAAAGGCCUACCAAGGCGACGAUCCGUAACUGGUCUGAGAGGAUGAUCAGUCACACUGGAACUGAGACACGGUCCAGACUCCUACGGGAGGCAGAAGUGGGGAAUAUUGGAAAAUGGGCGAAAGCCUGAUCCAGCCAUGCCGCGUGUGGGAAGAAGGUCUUCGGAUUGUAAAGCACUUUAAGUUGGGAGGAAGGGCAGUAAGUUAAUACCUUGCUGUUUUGACGUUACCAACAGAAUAAGCACCGGCUAACUUCGUG
RNAcentral lists this ribosomal RNA (484 nucleotides) under uncultured bacterium. RNAcentral describes it as "partial 16S ribosomal RNA". It matches the Rfam family "Bacterial small subunit ribosomal RNA", at positions 30 to 507 of the family's 1533-position model. The record is from RNAcentral.